RNAcentral lists this ribosomal RNA (494 nucleotides) under uncultured bacterium. Its description in RNAcentral is "partial 16S ribosomal RNA". It matches the Rfam family "Bacterial small subunit ribosomal RNA", at positions 28 to 507 of the family's 1533-position model. The record is from RNAcentral.
GACGAACGCUGGCGGCGCGCUUAACACAUGCAAGUCGAACGGAAAGGCCUGCUUUCCCUUGUGGAUUGCGGGUACUCGAGUGGCGAACGGGUGAGUAACACGUGAGUGAUCUGCCCCCAACUUGGGUAUAAGCCUGGGAAACUGGGUCUAAUUCCCGAUAGGACUGCAGGGUGGUGCCUGUGGUGGAAAACGAUUUUCUAGUGGUUGGGGAUGAGCUCGCGGCCUAUCAGCUUGUUGGUGGGGUAAUGGCCUACCAAGGCGGCGACGGGUAGCCGGCCGGAGAGGGGGGACGGUCACAUUGGGACUGGGUCACGGCCCAGACUGCUGCGGGAGGCAGGAGUGGUGAAGAUAGCAGAGUGGGCGGGAGCCUGAUGCAGCGACGCCGUGUGGGGGAUGACGGCCUUCGGAUUGUAUGCUCCUUGCGACCGAGAGGAAGCCACCUGGUUGGAAGCGUGGUGACGGUAGUGGUAGAAGAAGCACCGGCUAACUACGUG